UGGAGUAUUCAACUGACAAGGUGGUGAUGAGUUGAGGUGUCUAGAUGUGCAUUGUCAAAUUUGGAGUGUUUACUUUCCAGUUGAGGCCAAGUUUGAGUGCAGUUAUAUAUUAUGUCAAUGAAAAACUGAGAUGAAAAUAUUAAAGUUGCAGCCAUCAAUCUCUUUUCCAAUGCUUACUUCUACUGGUUUUAGUGUAGAAUCUA
RNAcentral lists this unclassified non-coding RNA (203 nucleotides) under Hevea brasiliensis (rubber tree). The record is from RNAcentral. Lineage: Eukaryota; Viridiplantae; Streptophyta; Magnoliopsida; Malpighiales; Euphorbiaceae.